Long non-coding RNA from Olea europaea var. sylvestris, 311 nucleotides. RefSeq lists it as uncharacterized. The record is from RefSeq and is a predicted model, not a curated record. The transcript has 3 exons. Lineage: Eukaryota; Viridiplantae; Streptophyta; Magnoliopsida; Lamiales; Oleaceae.
CUCUCUCUCAACUUCAAAGUUGAGCCUCCCUUGCCAUAUACGUAUCGCCAUUGGAACCUCAGACCAUCUCCUUCAUCUUUACAGAAAGCUUCCUUCAAUUGUUCGACGGGGAGGUGUUGAAGGCGGGUGUUCUUCUGGAAUGCAAGCACAGAAGGUUUUUUGAAAGUACGCAGCAAAAAAUUAAGAGGAAGACCCGAGAAGCUGCAAAACCUAAACUGAAAAGGAAUGAUGCUUAAAGCUUAUGUGACAACUUGGAAGUCGCAACAUUUUUACCUUAUAUUUGUUUUAUGAGUUUUGAUUUUAGAUUAUUG